This 253-nucleotide ribosomal RNA is filed under the name uncultured bacterium. RNAcentral's name for it is "partial 16S ribosomal RNA". It matches the Rfam family "Bacterial small subunit ribosomal RNA", at positions 524 to 776 of the family's 1533-position model. The record is from RNAcentral.
GACAGAGGGUGCAAACGUUGUUCGGAAUUACUGGGCGUAAAGCGCGUGUAGGCGGCUAAGUAAGUCGGGCGUGAAAUCCCACGGCUCAACCGUGGAAGUGCACUCGAAACUGCAUAGCUAGAGUCCUGGAGAGGAAGGUGGAAUACUUGGUGUAGAGGUGAAAUUCGUAGAUAUCAAGCGGAACACCGGUGGCGAAGGCGGCCUUCUGGACAGUGACUGACGCUGAGACGCGAAAGCGUGGGGAGCAAACAGG